This 1116-nucleotide long non-coding RNA is filed under the name Bos grunniens (domestic yak). RNAcentral describes it as "lncRNA (ENSBGRG00000009392.1)". The record is from RNAcentral. Lineage: Eukaryota; Metazoa; Chordata; Mammalia; Artiodactyla; Bovidae.
AUGCCCCGAGAGGAUGAAUAUCAUCUGUUUCCAGUUUAAUUAUGUUUUGGAGCAUGGUAUGCUUUUUUCCAGAUGAAUAAAUACUAAGUCUUUUUCACUUCCAGAGGAAAGUCAGGGUUGGAUUCUGAAAUUCAAGUUACCAGACUUAUUAAGUCAAAUUAAAAUGAAAUAUAAAAAGCUGUUUGAUUCCAUUUAUAAAUACUUAUCAGAAUACCACUCAAUGAAAAUUUGAGGUUUUGGAUAAAAAAUUAGAUACAAAAACUGACACCAGAAACCAUAUCUUUCAUCAUUAGCAUGGUUAGAUGGUAUGAUCAGGUAGUUAGAACUAAUGGUUAAAUGGUGUUGGUAACUGUACAGUAUAUUUAUAUAACAUUAAAAACUUUCAAAGCAGUUUUUAUCCAAAUGUUCUCAGACUUUUCAUAUCAUAGACCUUGAAGUUUGUGUAUGCAUGCCAAAAUAUAUACAGUGACUAUUUUAAGCACUAUCACCAUUAAAAAAAGAUUCACUUCAGCCUUCUGAAAAAGCUAAUUUGGCUGGCUCUAUUUAUUUGUUCAUAAGCCAUAAACUUCCUGAUAGAGAUCUUGAAGGAAAAGAACCAACUUGAAAUGGGUAUCAAAAGGGAUUUUAUUGUGAUUACACGAAUUCCCCAAGUACUGCGAUCUAGUGAUAGCAGAUGAGUGCCCCAAAGUUAGCCCACUGCUAACCAAUGGUCACGCUGGAGUUAGACCCUAGGAUUCCUGACUCCUACACCUGUGUUCUUUCCACCUUAUCCCCUUGUCUCCCUCACACGAUCAUUUGAAUUAGCAAAAUGUGCAUGUAAUCUACAAACUUUCUCUUCCGUCUCAGUUUCAAUGAAAGUAGCUGUUAUAUAGAUAAUAGUAUGUGUAUGUGUGUGUAUAUAUAUAUAUAUAUCUCCUGUGGGUUAUUUACACUUGCUUUCUCAUGUGUCCUCUUUCCUCCCCCCACGUCCAUCUUUUUUUAAAAAAUAAACCUCAGAAAAACUAGGUAAGAUAGGCUGUUUCAGUAUGCUUCUGUGAGCAAAUCAGUGAAACGUGUCCAGUGGCAUAGGGAACAGACAGGGCUUUGAUACUUCUCAGGUGCUGUGCUCUUCUCCUG